This 258-nucleotide unclassified non-coding RNA is filed under the name Ascomycota sp. RNAcentral's name for it is "partial contains small subunit ribosomal RNA, internal transcribed spacer 1, and 5.8S ribosomal RNA". The stretch from base 1 to 47 matches the Rfam family "Eukaryotic small subunit ribosomal RNA", at positions 1785 to 1831 of the family's 1831-position model. Lineage: Eukaryota; Fungi; Ascomycota. The record is from RNAcentral.
AAAGUCGUAACAAGGUUUCCGUAGGUGAACCUGCGGAAGGAUCAUUAUCGAGUUAGGGUCGUUCUGGCCCGAACUUCCAACCCCUUGUUUAUCACACCAUGUUGCUUUGGUGGGCCCGCCCUCUCUUAGGGGCCGCUGGAGGUUAUUGCCUCUGGCCUGUGCCUGCCAGCAGCCUUAUUAAAAUUCUUUUUUUAACUGUGUCGUCUGAGUAACCUUUUAAAUUAUUAAAAACUUUCAACAACGGAUCUCUUGGUUCUG